GUGGGGAAUCUUCCGCAAUGGACGAAAGUCUGACGGAGCGACGCCGCGUGAGUGAAGAAGGCCUUCGGGUCGUAAAGCUCUGUCAUCGGGGACGAAUGGUCGAUGGAGUGGAAAGCCAUUGAAAUGACGGUACCCGAGAAGGAAGCCACGGCUAACUACGUGCCAGCAGCCGCGGUAAUACGUAGGUGGCAAGCGUUGUCCGGAAUUAUUGGGCGUAAAGCGCGCGCAGGUGGGAUCUUAAGUCUAUUUUGAAAGUUCGGAGCUUAAAUCCGUGAUGGGAGAGAAACUGGGAUUCUUGAGUACCGGAGAGGAAAGCGGAAUUCCCCGUGUAGCGGUGAAAUGCGUAGAUAUGGGGAGGAACACCAGUGGCGAAGGCGGCUUUCUGGACGGUGUCUGACACUGAGGCGCGAAAGCCAGGGGAGCGAACGGGAUUAGAUACCCCAGUAGUCC
RNAcentral lists this ribosomal RNA (450 nucleotides) under uncultured bacterium. RNAcentral's name for it is "partial 16S ribosomal RNA". It matches the Rfam family "Bacterial small subunit ribosomal RNA", at positions 354 to 796 of the family's 1533-position model. The record is from RNAcentral.